GUGAAAGGAGGAGCAUCGAUCGGCUCCCUGUGGUGGUUUCCGCCUUCAGUCUCCCGCCUUUACGGUGAUUCAUCAGGAGCUCUGCAGCAGGCGCAGCUCCAGAUGAGGUCAGGAUCUGCUGCAGGGUUCCAGCCGUCCUCCAUGUUCAGCAGCAGCUGACGCGGAGCAGCUGGAGGCCGGCGCGGCUGGCCAACGUGAGGACGGCUGCUGUGAGUCAGCGCCGCAGUCAUGACGUCGGGGGAGGCGGCGGCGCGGCGGGGCUGCAUGUGACACGAUGACGAUGGUGAUUGUGAUGAAGAGGAGAGUGAAGUCCUGUGAUGGACCGGAUCUGGUGACCUGGACUCAGUGACCUCUGGAUGCAGAGCGUUUGCUUCCUGAGGCAGCUUCUGGAUUUAUGAGACGCAGGUUGGACCCGGUUCGUUUGGUCCAGAUCCGUCGGGUCUGGGUGGAAUCAUCGGCAGCCAAACGGCGACCUGAAGUUUGUCCGUCCGUCUGGAAGCCUGCAGAGUCCGCCAGCAGUCAGUGCAGCUGCUGCUUCUGUUUAAUAAUGUGCAGGAAUCGACUGGCAGUGUCAACAGAUUGUUGUUAUUGAUGCUGUGAUGUCCAGCAGACAGCAUCAAUGCAGCCGGACCCUGCAGACAAUCGAUGGCUUAAUGGACGACCAGUCGCUGCUCCACGCCGUUCUGCUGGAGAUUCUCCAGCUGACAGCAGAUUCUGCUCAGUUUCUCCCAGAUGUUGAUGUGUCAGAACCAGGCUGGUUCCGGUCGGGUCUGAUUGAACGUGGGUUCGGCCGGUGCCUGCAGUCAGCUCUGUUUGCGCUCUCGGUGUCAUUAGCAUGUUGUCUGGAGCAGAAACGCCUCCACUCCGUCAGUAAGUCAUAAAUUACUGUCUUUGUGUGGCUUUUUCACUCGGCUGCUUAGCGACGUCUAAUUAGCCCAGCGUGUCUGCAAACUGUGUCGGCGUUGAACUUUUUAUUUUGUCAUUGAAAUGAGCUUUUACAAGUGAACCGCUGAGAUGUGACAUGUCGCCGGAUCCAUACUCCUGAAAGAAUUGUUUACCUCUGAGAAGGCGGAGAGCAGCGGCGCCUCCUGCGACACGGCCGCUUAUUAAUCAGAGAAAAGAUGCUUUAAGCCAAAUCAACAGACAUUCAGAAACAGGUUCAGCUGCUGCAUCCAGUGGCUGCAAUCAUUCUAUUGGCUGAGAGGUUGCCAGGCGAAGGUGCAUUUUUUUCCAGAAGCAAGCAGAAAAUGUUUGUUACGUGAGCAGAGAGUCUGAGCAGCAACUAAAUCUGAGGAUGGAGUUCUGGUUCCAGUAGAACCGGGUCAACCGGACUGUAAGGGGGUUAAACACUUCCUUUCAGAUCCAGGAUCCAGCUGGACUCGUUUAUAUAACUCAGUUCGACUCUUUCUUCAUGUGUUGUCUGCGGCUCGUUCUCGACUCUCAGCGUUUUGCUUCUUCAAGGUAAAAACUUUGUUUUCCUGCUGAGCUGCUCUGACUUUCAGAGGGUCCGGGAGAUCAGUUACAGACCUGACAAAGAGGUUCUGAAGACAAACUGGCUCAAACUGAUUCUGAAACCUCUCCACUGGGGGGCGCUGUGGAGUCAGAGCAGACUUGACCCUGCCUGUCACUGCUGCUGAUGCUAAUCCAUCCAGAAAGUGUGUGCAGACGUCCAGCCAGCAGAAAGCAUGAAGGUGAAGCUUCAUUGAUCCGCAGGAGAAACUGAGCAGAUCAGAGCUUCAGCAGCUGGCAGAACCAGAGCCUGUCAUCACAGCAGAUGCUGCCUGACAGCAGGUCGCGACCCCGCUGCCCACACCUUAAACACACACACACACAGUUCACUGCCAGUGGGCCAGGCUGGAGCUGACAGAAAACACUGAAAUGUUUUACAGAGCAGCACAAAUCCUGAACGCUGCAACAAUCAUCAGAAUGAACCUCAUUAGAAACUCCUGCUGCAGUUUUGAUGAGGAUUUUACAUGUAGAGUCUGACCUGGACUGAGGUCAGCAGGACGGCCAGGCAAACCGCUUUUACUCACAAAGAACUCAGAAUAAUAACAAACAUAGACAAGAUGCUUAAAACAGAGACCAUCAGUCAGGAUGAGCAAAACGAUUCAACAAAUACGAGU
Molecule: long non-coding RNA, 2123 nt
Organism: Poeciliopsis prolifica (blackstripe livebearer)
Lineage: Eukaryota; Metazoa; Chordata; Actinopteri; Cyprinodontiformes; Poeciliidae
Exons: 5
Source: RefSeq, a predicted model, not a curated record